GAUGAACGCUGGCGGCGUGCCUAACACAUGCAAGUCGAGCGGAAAGACGCGGCGCUUGCUUGUCUGAUGUUAGCGGCGGACGGGAGAGUAACGCGUGGAUACCCUACUUAUAAGUCUGGGAUCACUACGGGAAACCGGAGCUAAUACGGGAUAAGAUUUUGAACCGCGUGGGUCAAAGGUGAAAGACGGUCGUGCUGGCACUUAUAGAUGGAUCCGCGCUGCAUUAGCUAGUUGGUAAGGUAACGGCUUACCAAGGCAACGAUGCAUAGCCGACCUGAGAGGGUGAUCAGCCACACUGGAACUGAGACACGGUCCAGACUCCUACGGGAGGCAGCAGUAGGGAAUCUUCCGCAAUGGGCGAAAGCCUGACGGAGCAACGCCGCGUGAGUGAUGAAGGUCUUCGGGUCGUAAAACGCUGUUAUUAGGGAAGAACAUGUUUGUGAGUAUCUCUGCGCCUCAUGACGGUACCUUAUCAAAAAGCCCCGGCUAACUACGUG
This 497-nucleotide ribosomal RNA is filed under the name uncultured bacterium. RNAcentral describes it as "partial 16S ribosomal RNA". It matches the Rfam family "Bacterial small subunit ribosomal RNA", at positions 28 to 507 of the family's 1533-position model. The record is from RNAcentral.